CUUAAAUAUAUAGACCUAUUAAUGAUGAACUAAAAGUUUCCAUGCUAAUCAUGAAUAAAAUUCAAAAUUUUAAAGGAUUAGAAACACGCUUUUUGUUAUCUCUAACAGUCCUGAAUACGUUUAUAUAUAGCA
Kluyveromyces lactis is the source of this 132-nucleotide small nucleolar RNA. The record is from RefSeq and is a predicted model, not a curated record. NCBI's taxonomy places the organism in Eukaryota, Fungi, Ascomycota, Saccharomycetes, Saccharomycetales, Saccharomycetaceae.